RNAcentral lists this transfer RNA (99 nucleotides) under Vibrio cholerae. RNAcentral's name for it is "tRNA-Leu(gag)". Lineage: Bacteria; Pseudomonadati; Pseudomonadota; Gammaproteobacteria; Vibrionales; Vibrionaceae. The record is from RNAcentral.
UGCCGAGAUGGUGAAAUUGGUAGACACACUAGCAUGAGGUGCUAGCGCCUUAGGUGUGAGGGUUCGAGUCCGUUGGUUCAAAUCCGGCCCCCGCAACCA